Molecule: long non-coding RNA, 1062 nt
Filed under: Cyanistes caeruleus (blue tit)
Lineage: Eukaryota; Metazoa; Chordata; Aves; Passeriformes; Paridae
Description: lncRNA (ENSCCEG00000014049.1)
Source: RNAcentral
GUCACAGCAGUGAGGGAGGCACUGAUCCUGCAAAGGCAGCUAGCCAAGGCAGAAGCACUCAGCACGAGGGCAGCCCAGCUGAGCCACGACCCAGACCCUCAGCAUCCCCCCAUCAGCAGCUGGCAGCUCCUCCAGCCCAGCGUGCCAGGCUGCCUGCACCCUCCCCAAAUCACAGAAACCCUGCAGGCAGCCACCAUUCCGCCUCCCAGAGAGGAAAACAAAUGCAUCCAAUCCUCCAGUGGUCGUAUCCUGCCCAUCCACGGGCGAACACCCCAUGACAGAGCAUCCCUCCAGCCCCAAAGUCCCCUUUGGGCUGAACGUGAGGCGAGAGGGUUUUGGGCCAACACCCGGGAUGCGAGAAGACCCGUGGCUACGGAGCUGGGCAGCGGAAAUGCCCCUAAUUUCUCUAAGCUGCUGCAUCCUGUCCUGCACAGCCAGCAGCUCUCCCACCACGCUGGGACAGGGAUUAGCCAGCAGAGCCUCCUUACGAGCAAUCACAACCUCUGUCAGGGAGGGCAGGGGGGAAUCAGCCCCCUGCACAGACAUCCCAUGCCUCUCCUCUACACUCAGGGAAUGCAGAGAGGCCUCUGUCUGCAGAGAUGCCCGCUUGGGAUGAGGACUUCUGCAGCAUCACGCUGCUCUUCCUACCCUGAAACAGGAUUUGGGGCACACAGAGAUGCUUCUCCCUCUGCAGCACCUUCAGGCACCUGCCAGGACCAGCAAUCCCAGGGUUGUGGGGACCCCAGCUGCACAGUAUGUCAGAACUCACUCCCCAUUUUCCAGCCCCUCAAUAGCAAUUUCAGGACAGCUUGUGAAGCCUCAAGUCCCAGGAAAUUCCCUGCAGCCCUACAAGCAGCACCAAGCCUGCUGGCGGCAGCAACAUUCCCAGUUACUCAGAGAAACACAACAGCUCUGAGGAUGCCUGGGCCAGCAAAUUCACACGGGUCCCAAAAUCUGGCGCACACAUUCGGGCUUCAUACAAAGGGGAUGCAAAGCAGCCUCCUUGCAGCAUCCCUGUCACGUCCUGCUCGACUGGAGCUGCUUUUCAUGCAGCUGCCUUGA